UCCUACGGGGGGCUGCAGUAGGGAAUCUUCCGCAAUGGACGAAAGUCUGACGGAGCAACGCCGCGUGAGUGAUGAAGGUUUUCGGAUCGUAAAACUCUGUUGUCAGGGAAGAACAAGUGCCGGAGUAACUGCCGGCACCUUGACGGUACCUGACCAGAAAGCCACGGCUAACUACGUGCCAGCAGCCGCGGUAAUACGUAGGUGGCAAGCGUUGUCCGGAAUUAUUGGGCGUAAAGCGCGCGCAGGCGGUCUCUUAAGUCUGAUGUGAAAGCCCACGGCUCAACCGUGGAGGGUCAUUGGAAACUGGGGGACUUGAGUGCAGAAGAGGAAAGUGGAAUUCCACGUGUAGCGGUGAAAUGCGUAGAGAUGUGGAGGAACACCAGUGGCGAAGGCGACUUUCUGGUCUGUAACUGACGG
This 417-nucleotide ribosomal RNA is filed under the name Bacillus infantis. Its description in RNAcentral is "bacterial SSU rRNA". It matches the Rfam family "Bacterial small subunit ribosomal RNA", at positions 337 to 746 of the family's 1533-position model. The record is from RNAcentral. Lineage: Bacteria; Bacillati; Bacillota; Bacilli; Caryophanales; Bacillaceae.